RNAcentral lists this ribosomal RNA (253 nucleotides) under uncultured bacterium. RNAcentral's name for it is "partial 16S ribosomal RNA". It matches the Rfam family "Bacterial small subunit ribosomal RNA", at positions 524 to 776 of the family's 1533-position model. The record is from RNAcentral.
GACGAACCGUCCAAACGUUAUUCGGAAUCACUGGGCUUACAGAGUUCGUAGGCGGUCCGGUAAGUUAGGUGUGAAAUCCCUCGGCUCAACCGAGGAACUGCGCUUAAUACUGCCGGACUUGAGGGGGAUAGAGGAGAGCGGAACUGAUGGUGGAGCGGUGAAAUGCGUUGAUAUCAUCAGGAACACCGGUGGCGAAGGCGGCUCUCUGGGUCCCUCCUGACGCUGAGGAACGAAAGCUAGGGGAGCAAACGGG